RNAcentral lists this ribosomal RNA (429 nucleotides) under Chloroflexota bacterium. RNAcentral's name for it is "Chloroflexi bacterium partial 16S ribosomal RNA". It matches the Rfam family "Bacterial small subunit ribosomal RNA", at positions 355 to 776 of the family's 1533-position model. The record is from RNAcentral. Lineage: Bacteria; Bacillati; Chloroflexota.
UGGGGAAUAUUGCACAAUGGGCGCAAGCCUGAUGCAGCCAUGCCGCGUGUAUGAUGAAGGCCUUCGGGUUGUAAAGCACUUUCAGCGGGGAGGAAGGGAGUAAAGUUAAUACCUUUGCUCGUUGACGUUACCCGCAGAAGAAGCGCCGGCUAACUACGUGCCAGCAGCAGCGGUAAUACGUAGGGCGCGAGCGUUGUCCGGGAUUAUUGGGUGUAAAGGGCUUGUAGGCGGCUUGUUGCGCCUGCUGUGAAAACGCGGGGCUUAACUUCGCGCGUGCAGUGGGUACGGGCAGGCUUGAGUGUGGUAGGGGUGACUGGAAUUCCAGGUGUAGCGGUGGAAUGCGCAGAUAUCUGGAAGAACACCGAUGGCGAAGGCAGGUCCCUAGACCAAUACUGACGCUAAGGGGCGAAAGCAUGGGUAGCGAACAGG